CUUCCUGAAUAUUCUGGGACAAGUUGUAUACCUGGACAGAACUUGUCAUGGUGCUCAGGGCAAAAACCGUUGCACAGUCUUUGAUAGUGGAUUGGCUAUCAAAGGCACCUUGGGUAUCCAUGAGUAGUACAGCAACCUUCGUUCCAUUGGGUUUAUCAAUUACAAACACUUCACUCCAGAUCUGGAUGCCAGUGGUUUCCCGUUCACAUCCACCUCUCCAUGUAAACCCAGUCAAAGGCUCAGUGUUUCCACCUAUCCAGCAAGGAGAAGUCCUGUUAUACAUGUAUCUAAGCAUGAAGUCCAGCAGAAAAGAUUUUCCUUUGCGGAAAGCUCCUGCUACAGACACAACUACUAUGUUAAGAUCUUUGAUGUGCUCCUGAAGCAAGAUUUUUUCCAAUGCUUCUUCAUCUAAUUCAAAGUUAUGGUCAUCUUCAUGAGCGAGAACAAUCUGUAUGGGGCGCGGCUUAUCCAAAUCCACCUCGUCAUCUGAAUCUGGCAUGACAUCUGAGUCAGGUAGGGCAUCCUCCUCUUCUUCCUCCUCAUAAUGCUUACCUGCCGGCUCGGGCCGUUGGCGGGUCGACCCCGCGCGCCGCGCCGCGUCCCUUUCCGCCAUCUUGUCCGGGUUUAAAAUUAACUCGUCGUGACGUCAGAGCUUCGCCGCGAGACCUUUAUCGCCCGGCGGCGGCGCGCGGGGCGCGGGCACGGUGGGUCCUAGCGCCUCCGGCUGCCCGCCGCGGGAGGGGCGGCGCACGCGCAACCACAGCCCUGCCGGCGGCGAGCGGGGAACGGCGCAUGCGCGGUUUGCGUCUGACGGGCCCCGAGGGGUGGCAGGACCGUCUCGCCGUGGGGAGGGCGGAGCGGGUGCCGCCGCUUCGGGGUCCCCGGUGCCGUUCAGCACCCAGCUCUGCCCCGGCGGCUGUUCAGACUGGCUGCAGGAAGGCUUUAGGCCUGCGAGGUUGCCUGUUGGUAGAGGUCACGUAGCACAUUUGAGUGGCAAAUCAGCACGUGAGGUGGGCGACAGCGUUGCUGAAACCCAUCUGAGCGCGGCAGUGCUCCUGGCGUGGGCGUUUACCUUUCUCAGGGCCCCGAGCUAUGCUAGCUGCGUCUGGGGACGCAGCUCCUGAGUGGCAGCAAGCUAAAAACACCAGUGCCUAAACAGGUGGGAGGAAAAGUCAGACGAGAUCGAAAAGCGGCGUGUUCUGCCGCGGCCCCUGUGAGUGCGUUCUGAAGCUGCACACCCGGCUGUGAGCAGCGCUCGGGGCGCUUUGUGUCGCUGGGACGGGCACACCGGUGGCGGGCCUUGCCGCCUGCAGCUCCGUGUUGGAAAGGGAUGGCACAAACCGCAGCAGCUGAGCGCUGCAGGAAGGUAGCAGCGGCUUGUAGGAGUCACUGUGAAACUGACGAGAAGGGUUCCAACGUGCUGUAUUUAAGCCAGCACUAAUGGAAGCAGACUGCUCCGUACGGAAGUACGCUGCCAUCGGCCUUCUGCAGUUUAAUAUCCCCCACUUAUUUGUGGCAGCUUGCUAUGGAAAGUGGGUGCGUCGCUGCCCGUCCUUCUCACCUCAGCCCAAGUCAAAAGGCAAACUUUCCUUGACGACAGAAAGAAAUCAGAACACGCUCUACAAGUUCUGGAUUUGUGACUUUCAAGGAAGGAGGGAUUCAGAGGUAUUUCAGACGUUUAUAGGUCAGGCAAAUGGAAAUGCCUUGAAGUAAAACACACGGAAAGCCAGAAACCCUGUUAGUGUGACAUAGUUAAGAAUCAGCAGCUCAGUGUGAAUCUGAGGAGCUGGAAACGAAUAAAAGACAAUAAAGAAGUUUCCAAGUUCUGUUGCUAGUAAAUAGUCUUAUUUCUGAUCAGCUCUAGAAGAGUUCGUGCAAAGAAGAGUUUGGAAUACUGCAUAUACAGAUGGAUAGAUUUCUAUUCCAUGCAGCAGGAUUUACUGCUGCUGUAAUGUGAGAACAGAUAUUAAGAACGCCGAGGUCAGAAAGCUCAACCUUAAUUCUGCCCUGUUCACAUGAAGAAAGGAGACGUUCUCCGAGCUGAGGAUUCUGCCUCCAACGUGGCGACUCCUGUCUGCAAAGGUCCCCAACUCCGCCACUUUCCCAGUUGUUUGCUGCUUGCCUCUGACCCAGGCUAGCAAGGAGUUAGUACUGAAACACUGAUUUGAUACUAAGAAAGCCCAGAUCAGAUUCAGAUUCUUUACACUUUUCCGUAUAAAAUUAUCCCCUGUCACCAUCUCUAACCUGUAUGCUGCUUGUUUGUUUAAGGUAACCUGCACAAUGAGAAAUCAGCAAGCCCACCACCUACCUGAGUCACUGCACACAGCGUGCUGCCACUGGGGAGCGGGGCAGUCUCCCAUCCUGAAGGGCUGAGGGUCCUGGGUCAAGCCGGGGAGGUUUCUGGCAGAGGUACUGAGCUUAGCAAUAUCUUUCGUCAUUUGUUUGGGGCCUUAGAAUCCACAUGAAUGGUAAGGCCAGUUUCAGCCUUCCCUUCAGGCUGCAGAGGGGUACAGACAGAGCUGAAGAAAGCCAGCUGUGAGAUAAAGGUGGUUCUUCUGGCAGCCCCCUCAGCAACAAGACAUCUCUGGGGAGCAG
This 2595-nucleotide long non-coding RNA is filed under the name Gallus gallus (chicken). Lineage: Eukaryota; Metazoa; Chordata; Aves; Galliformes; Phasianidae. The record is from RNAcentral.